This 233-nucleotide long non-coding RNA is filed under the name Capsicum annuum. RNAcentral's name for it is "long non-coding RNA (CANN_LNC005252)". Lineage: Eukaryota; Viridiplantae; Streptophyta; Magnoliopsida; Solanales; Solanaceae. The record is from RNAcentral.
GGAAAAUUAGUUGAACAAGGAGGACUUAACAAUCCCCAUGUGCUGCUAAAGCGGUUGGGCACAAGGAUGCGGGCAUCGCUAAAGCGGCACCUUAGCCGCUAAAGUAGACAAGGAUCGCUUAAGUGAACCUCAGCCAUACAACCAAGGCCUCUAAAGAGACUCUAUGUUGCUAAAGCAACUAUCGCUUAAGUGACCAAAGUAUUGGCUAAGCAGUUACACAAGAUGGUGCCAGG